RNAcentral lists this long non-coding RNA (943 nucleotides) under Homo sapiens (human). RNAcentral describes it as "HSALNT0001793". The record is from RNAcentral. Lineage: Eukaryota; Metazoa; Chordata; Mammalia; Primates; Hominidae.
GACUCUUAACACGGUAUCCUCGCUAGUUGGUUUUAAGGGAAACACUCUGCUCCUGGGUGUGAGCAGAGGCUCUGGUCUUGCCCUGUGGUUUGACUCUCCUUAGAACCACCGCCCACCAGAAACAUAAAGGAUUAAAAUCACACUAAUAACCCCUGGAUGGUCAAUCUGAUAAUAGGAUCAGAUUUACGUCUACCCUAAUUCUUAACAUUGCAGCUUUCUCUCCAUCUGCAGAUUAUUCCCAGUCUCCCAGUAACACGUUUCUACCCAGAUCCUUUUUCAUUUCCUUAAGUUUUGAUCUCCGUCUUCCUGAUGAAGCAGGCAGAGCUCAGAGGAUCUUGGCAUCACCCACCAAAGUUAGCUGAAAGCAGGGCACUCCUGGAUAAAGCAGCUUCACUCAACUCUGGGGAAUGCUACCAUUUUUUUUCCAAAGUAGAAAGGAAGCACUUCUGAGCCAGUGACCACUGAAAGCUUGGUGUUCCAUGGCCCCUAGGCGAGGUGAUCAGGGAGUGGGGCCAAUGGGCCCCCGGCCCUGGCUUUGGGACCUUGUGCUGAGGGAUGAUUUGCUCCUGACCUUGAUUAACUUAACAGUUCCCAGCUGGAAGGGACACUUUCAGGACCCAGUCCACUGUAUGGCAUUUGUGAUGCAGAAUUAUGCACUGACAUGACCCUGGGUGACAGGAAAGCCUUUCGAGAGGCCCAAGGUGGCCUCGCCAGCCCUGCAGUAUUGAUGUGCAGUAUUGCACCACAGCUCUGCGGACCUUGGCCAUUGCCGCAGUCGCAGCUUCCUUUUUUCUGUUUGCACUGUUUGUUUGUAUGAUGUUAGCUAAUUCCACUGUGUAUAUAAAUUGUAUUUUUUUUAAUUUGUAAAAUGCUAUUUUUAUUUGAACCUUUGGAACUUGGGAGUUCUCAUUGUAACCCUAACAUGUGAGAAUAAAAUGUCUUC